This 492-nucleotide ribosomal RNA is filed under the name uncultured bacterium. Its description in RNAcentral is "partial 16S ribosomal RNA". It matches the Rfam family "Bacterial small subunit ribosomal RNA", at positions 28 to 523 of the family's 1533-position model. The record is from RNAcentral.
GACGAACGCUGGCGGCGUGCUUAACACAUGCAAGUCGAGCGGUAAGGCCCUUCGGGGUACACGAGCGGCGAACGGGUGAGUAACACGUGAGCAACCUGCCCCUGACUCCGGGAUAAGCGGUGGAAACGCCGUCUAAUACCGGAUACGACACGCCACCUCCUGGUGGCGGGUGGAAAGUUUUAUCGGUCAGGGAUGGGCUCGCGGCCUAUGAGCUUGUUGGUGGGGUAACGGCCUACCAAGGCGAUUACGGGUAGGCGGCCUGAGAGGGCGACCGGCCACGCUGGAGCUGAGACACGGCCCAGGCUCCUGCGGGAGGCAGCAGUGGGGAAGAUUUCGCAAUGGGCGAAAGCCUGACGCAGCGACGCCGCGUGGGGGAUGACGGCCUUCGGGUUGUAAACCUCUUUUACCACCAACGCAGGCUCCCGGUUCUCCGGGGGUUGACGGUAGGUGGGGAAUAAGGACCGGCUAACUACGUGCCAGCCGCCGCCGUAA